AUAAAUUGAAUUAUACCGUAUCGAAGUAUUCUUCUUCGCAGGCUUCUUCUGAGCCUUUUACCACUCCAGUCUAGCACCAACCCCCGAACUAGGAGGCUGCUGACCUCCAACAGGUAUCUAUC
This is a long non-coding RNA of Carlito syrichta (Philippine tarsier), 122 nucleotides long. RefSeq lists it as uncharacterized. The record is from RefSeq and is a predicted model, not a curated record. The transcript is spliced from 3 exons. Lineage: Eukaryota; Metazoa; Chordata; Mammalia; Primates; Tarsiidae.